AUUGAACGCUGGCGGCAGGCCUAACACAUGCAAGUCGAGCGGAUGAAGGGUGCUUGCUCCUGGAUUCAGCGGCGGACGGGUGUGUAAUGCCUAUGAAUCUGCCUGGUAUUGGUGUAUAACGUCCGGUAACGGGCUCUAAUACCGCAUACUUCCUGUUGUAGUAAUUUGUGGUUCUUCUGACCUCACGCUAUCAUCUGUUCCUAGGUCGGAUUAGCUAGUUGGUUGGGUAAAGGCCUACCAAGGCGACGAUCCGUAACUGGUCUGAGAGGAUGAUCAGUCACACGGGAACUGAGACACGGUCAAGAGUACUAAGGGAGGAAGCAGAGGGGAAUAUUGGACAAUGGGCGAAAGCAUGAUCCAGAAAUGCCGCGUGUGUGAAGAAGGUCUUCGGAUUGUAAAGCACUUUAAGUUGGGAGGAAGGGCAGUAAGUUAAUACCUUGCUGUUGUGACGUUACCAACAGAAUAAGCACCGGCUAACUACGUG
RNAcentral lists this ribosomal RNA (484 nucleotides) under uncultured bacterium. Its description in RNAcentral is "partial 16S ribosomal RNA". It matches the Rfam family "Bacterial small subunit ribosomal RNA", at positions 30 to 507 of the family's 1533-position model. The record is from RNAcentral.